UUAAAAACAGUAUAAGAUUAUAUCAACUUUGGGAGUUGAAGGUUAGUGGAAACUAUUUUUAAA
RNAcentral lists this transfer RNA (63 nucleotides) under Laeocathaica amdoana. RNAcentral's name for it is "tRNA-Pro". The record is from RNAcentral. Lineage: Eukaryota; Metazoa; Mollusca; Gastropoda; Stylommatophora; Camaenidae.